AUUGAACGCUGGCGGCAGGCCUAACACAUGCAAGUCGAGCGGAUGAAGGCAGCUUGCUCCUGGUUUCAGCGGCGGACGGGUGAGUAAUGCCUAUGAAUCUGCCUGGUAGUGGUUGAUAACGUCCGGAAACGGGCGCUAAUACCGCAUACGUCCUGAGGGAGAAAGUGGGGGAUCUUCGGACCUCACGCUAUCAGAUGAGCCUAGGUCGGAUUAGCUAGUUGGUGGGGUAAAGGCCUACCAAGGCGACGAUCCGUAACUGGUCUGAGAGGAUGAUCAGUCACACUGGAACUGAGACACGGUCCAGACUCCUACGGGAGGCAGCAGUGGGGAAUAUUGGACAAUGGGCGAAAGCCUGAUCCAGCCAUGCCGCGUGUGUGAAGAAGGUCUUCGGAUUGUAAAGCACUUUAAGUUGGGAGGAAGGGCAGUAAGUUAAUACCUUGCUGUUUUGACGUUACCAACAGAAUAAGCACCGGCUAACUUCGUG
RNAcentral lists this ribosomal RNA (484 nucleotides) under uncultured bacterium. Its description in RNAcentral is "partial 16S ribosomal RNA". It matches the Rfam family "Bacterial small subunit ribosomal RNA", at positions 30 to 507 of the family's 1533-position model. The record is from RNAcentral.